Molecule: long non-coding RNA, 1315 nt
Filed under: Homo sapiens (human)
Lineage: Eukaryota; Metazoa; Chordata; Mammalia; Primates; Hominidae
Description: HSALNT0321372
Source: RNAcentral
GUCAGGAGAUCGAGACCAUCCUGGCCAACACGGUGAAACCCUGUCUCUACUAAAAAUACGAACAAACAAAAACAUCUCUGGACCAAUCUGGUCUUAAUUUCUUCUAUCCAGGCCUUUUGGUUCUCCCUGGCUGGCCAUGGGCUUCACUUCUCUGAUGGCUCAAUUCAUUCUUUCCUAAGAUCUUCAAGUUUAUAGUGAAAUUUUCUCUCAAGUGAGCUUUUUUCCUGCUUAUUCCAAGGCUGAUUUAAUUAUAACCAUUCUUUAAGUAAAAAAGGACUUAUUUAUUCAAAAAUUCUGAGUACCUUUUUCAUGCUAGGCAGCACUGAGAAUGUCAUGGAAGGCAUGUGCCAGAUGCUGGAUUACAUCAGAAUGAGCAAGAAAAAUACAGCAUCUGUCCAGGUGGAACUUACAGUCUGGUGAAUACACACAAAUAGGUAAAUUCUCUUUGCUGUAGGAGCAACACCUAAACCCAGAUUUGAGCUACUGGAAAAGUUGAAAAUUAACAUGCAGCUUGCUUAUUUCUGUUGGACAACACUACUGUAGACCAGCGGGUCUCAAACAGAGCAGAGAGUUUAUGAACACACAGAUUGCUGGGCCCUAAAAAUUUAGUUCCUAGUUAAGUACCUUUAUAUUUUGCUUAGAAAGAUUAUACUGUAUUUGUUAAUGUUUAUUUGAAUUGUGAAGUGUGAAGUAACUUUCUGAUUCAGUAGGUCUGUAUGAGGUCUGAGAGUUUGAAUUUCUGACAGGUUCCCAGGUGGUACUGGAUGCUGCUGAUCCAAUGACCACAUUUUAAGAACCACUGCUUUAGACCAGGCCCUAAGUAGGGCCAGAUAGUAAGUGUUUUAGGCUUGGGGUAGAGGUGAGGGUGGGGAAGUCGCUUAACCCAGAAUUCUAUAACCAAUGAAAAUUUUCUUUAAGACUGAAGAUGAAAUACAAUUUUCAAAUGAAAGAAAACAAAAAAUUCGUUGUCCAAAGACCUGCACUAAAAGAAGCUUUUCAGAUUGAAAGGAAAUAAUGCAAAUGGAGAUUUAGAUCCUUAUAAAACAAUGGAGGGUGUCAGAAAUGGUAGAUAUAUGGGUCAAUGCAAAAGGCUUUUUAAUUUUUUUCCUGAUUUCUUUUUAAUACAUACAACUUUAUAGUAAGAAUAACAACUGUAUCUUGUUGGGUUUAUAAUGUACAUAGAUGUAAUACAUAUAAACAUGAUAGCAUAAUGAUUAGAAAUGGGAUUUGGGCCUACAGUUGCAAGGUUGUAUUAUAGUACAUAAUAUAUGUUAUUAUUAUAUAUAAAUAUAUAUAUAUAUUUGAGACAGAGUCU